GGGGCUGUAGCGCAGUUGGUAGCGCACUUCGUUCGCAAUGAAGGGGUCAGGGGUUCGAAUCCCCUCAGCUCCA
RNAcentral lists this transfer RNA (73 nucleotides) under Lapillicoccus jejuensis. It matches the Rfam family "tRNA". Rfam says of the family: Transfer RNA (tRNA) molecules are approximately 80 nucleotides in length. Their secondary structure includes four short double-helical elements and three loops (D, anti-codon, and T loops). Lineage: Bacteria; Bacillati; Actinomycetota; Actinomycetes; Micrococcales; Intrasporangiaceae. The record is from Rfam by way of RNAcentral. RNAcentral also lists the same sequence under 1 other name.